GGGGGGGGGGGGGGGGGGGGUGGGCGCGGGGAGGGCGGGCGGGGGGGCCGUGCGUGGGGGGGGGGCUCGAGGGGCGAACGGGUGAGUAGCACGUGCGUAACCUGCCCUUGGCUUUGGGAUACCUUCAGGAAGCUGGGGAUAAUACCGGAUAGGAGCUCCUGCUGCAUGUUGGGGUUUGGACCGUUUCGGCGGUUGGGGAUGGACGCGCGGCUUAUCAGCUUGUUGGUGGGGUAGUGGCUUACCAAGGCGUUGACGGGUAGCCGGCCGGAGAGGGUGACCGGCCACAUUGGGACUGAGAUACGGCCCAGACUCCUACGGGAGGCAGCAGUGGGGAAUAGUGCACAAUGGGCGGAAGCCUGAUGCAGCAACGCCGCGUGCGGGAUGACGGCCUGCGGGUUGUAAACCGCUUUCGCCUGUGACGAAGCGUGAGUGACGGUAAUGGGUAAAGAAGCACCGGCUAACUACGUG
RNAcentral lists this ribosomal RNA (468 nucleotides) under uncultured bacterium. Its description in RNAcentral is "partial 16S ribosomal RNA". It matches the Rfam family "Bacterial small subunit ribosomal RNA", at positions 35 to 507 of the family's 1533-position model. The record is from RNAcentral.